AACGAACGCUGGCGGCAUGCCUAACACAUGCAAGUCGAACGAGACCUUCGGGUCUAGUGGCGCACGGGUGCGUAACGCGUGGGAACCUGCCCUUAGGUUCGGAAUAACUCCCCGAAAGGGGUGCUAAUACCGGAUAAUGUCUUCGGACCAAAGAUUUAUCGCCUUUGGAUGGGCCCGCGUUGGAUUAGCUAGUUGGUAGGGUAAAAGCCUACCAAGGUGACGAUCCAUAGCUGGUCUGAGAGGAUGAUCAGCCACACUGGGACUGAGACACGGCCCAGACUCCUACGGGAGGCAGCAGUGGGGAAUAUUGGACAAUGGGCGAAAGCCUGAUCCAGCAAUGCCGCGCGAGUGAUGAAGGCCUUAGGGUUGUAAAGCUCUUUUACCCGGGAUGAUAAUGACAGUACCGGGAGAAUAAGCGCCGGCUAACUCCGUG
This 433-nucleotide ribosomal RNA is filed under the name uncultured bacterium. RNAcentral's name for it is "partial 16S ribosomal RNA". It matches the Rfam family "Bacterial small subunit ribosomal RNA", at positions 29 to 507 of the family's 1533-position model. The record is from RNAcentral.